This 157-nucleotide ribosomal RNA is filed under the name uncultured Racocetra. RNAcentral describes it as "partial 18S ribosomal RNA". The record is from RNAcentral. Lineage: Eukaryota; Fungi; Glomeromycota; Glomeromycetes; Diversisporales; Gigasporaceae.
GCAGCGGGGGUAAUUCCAGUUCCAAUAGCGUAUAAAAAGUUGUUGCAGUUAAAAAGCUGGUAGUUGAAUUUCGGGGUUGGGCCGGUGGUCCGUCUAUGGUCUGUACUGGCGUGACGGAUUUCUACCUUCUGGGGAACCAUCAUGCUCAUUAACUUAG